Molecule: ribosomal RNA, 484 nt
Filed under: uncultured bacterium
Lineage: Bacteria
Description: partial 16S ribosomal RNA
Rfam family: Bacterial small subunit ribosomal RNA
Source: RNAcentral
AUUGAACGCUGGCGGCAGGCCUAACACAUGCAAGUCGAGCGGAGGAAGGGAGCUUGCUCCUGGAUUCAGCGGCGGACGGGUGAGUAAUGCCUAGGAAUCUGCCUGGUAGUGGGGGAUAACGUCCGGAAACGGGCGCUAAUACCGCAUACGUCCUGAGGGAGAAAGUGGGGGAUCUUCGGACCUCACGCUAUCAGAUGAGCCUAGGUCGGAUUAGCUAGUUGGUGGGGUAAAGGCCUACCAAGGCGACGAUCCGUAACUGGUCUGAGAGGAUGAUCAGUCACACUGGAACUGAGACACGGUCCAGACUCCUACGGGAGGCAGCAGUGGGGAAUAUUGGACAAUGGGCGAAAGCCUGAUCCAGCCAUGCCGCGUGUGUGAAGAAGGUCUUCGGAUUGUAAAGCACUUUUAGUUGGGAGGAAGGGCAGUAAGUUAAUACCUUGCUGUUUUGACGUUACCAACAGAAUAAGCACCGGCUAACUUCGUG